RNAcentral lists this ribosomal RNA (166 nucleotides) under Quercus austroglauca. Its description in RNAcentral is "5.8S ribosomal RNA". It matches the Rfam family "5.8S ribosomal RNA". From Rfam's summary of the family: 5.8S ribosomal RNA (5.8S rRNA) is a component of the large subunit of the eukaryotic ribosome. It is transcribed by RNA polymerase I as part of the 45S precursor that also contains 18S and 28S rRNA. Lineage: Eukaryota; Viridiplantae; Streptophyta; Magnoliopsida; Fagales; Fagaceae. The record is from RNAcentral.
CUCUCGGCAACGGAUAUCUAGGCCCUCGCAUCGAUGAAGAACGUAGCGAAAUGCGAUACUUGGUGUGAAUUGCAGAAUCCCGCGAAUCAUCGAGUUUUUGAACGCAAGUUGCGCCCGAAGCCAUUCGGCCGAGGGCACGUCUGCCUGGGUGUCACGCAUCGUUGCC